CAGGAGGGACACGGACCCCAAAGCCAAUGGAUGCUGUGACGGGGGAUCUCUGUCCUGAAGGACACUUCUGCCUUGCAGGCUCAGCAGCACCCUCCCCGUGCCCAGAUGGGGAAUACAGCAAUGCAACAGGUCAAGACAAAUGCUUCCCAUGUCCAGCUGGGUUUCACUGUCAGCGCGGCAUAAUGCACCAUUGUCCACCUGGCUUUUACUGCCCCCAGAAGACUGGAAUCAGCUUUUACCCUUGUCCAGCUGGCACUUACAACCCAUCUCAUGGAAUCAGCCAGGCCGAGAGGUGCCAGCAAUGCCCUGCAGGGAUGUUUUGUGGAGAAUGGGGAUUAUCCUCUCCGAGUGGCCCCUGCUGGCCAGGA
Trachemys scripta elegans is the source of this 368-nucleotide long non-coding RNA. RefSeq lists it as uncharacterized. The transcript has 3 exons. The record is from RefSeq and is a predicted model, not a curated record. NCBI's taxonomy places the organism in Eukaryota, Metazoa, Chordata, Testudines, Emydidae.